CCUACGGGUGGCUGCAGUGGGGAAUAUUGGACAAUGGGCGAAAGCCUGAUCCAGCCAUGCCGCGUGUGUGAAGAAGGCCUUCGGGUUGUAAAGCACUUUCAGUGGGGAAGAAAGCCUUGGGGCUAAUACCCUCGAGGAAGGGCAUCACCCACAGAAGAAGCACCGGCUAACUCCGUGCCAGCAGCCGCGGUAAUACGGAGGGUGCGAGCGUUAAUCGGAAUUACUGGGCGUAAAGCGCGCGUAGGCGGUCUGAUAAGCCGGUUGUGAAAGCCCCGGGCUCAACCUGGGAACGGCAUCCGGAACUGUCAGGCUAGAGUGCAGGAGAGGAAGGUAGAAUUCCCGGUGUAGCGGUGAAAUGCGUAGAGAUCGGGAGGAAUACCAGUGGCGAAGGCGGCCUUCUGGACUGACACUGACGCUGAGGUGCGAAAGCGUGGGUAGCAAACAGGAUUAGAUACCCGAGUAGUC
RNAcentral lists this ribosomal RNA (465 nucleotides) under Vreelandella stevensii. RNAcentral's name for it is "partial 16S ribosomal RNA". It matches the Rfam family "Bacterial small subunit ribosomal RNA", at positions 338 to 795 of the family's 1533-position model. Lineage: Bacteria; Pseudomonadati; Pseudomonadota; Gammaproteobacteria; Oceanospirillales; Halomonadaceae. The record is from RNAcentral.